Molecule: ribosomal RNA, 459 nt
Filed under: uncultured bacterium
Lineage: Bacteria
Description: partial 16S ribosomal RNA
Rfam family: Bacterial small subunit ribosomal RNA
Source: RNAcentral
CCUACGGGAGGCAGCAGUGAGGAAUAUUGGUCAAUGGGCGCGAGUCUGAACCAGCCAAGUCGCGUGCGGGAAGACGGCCCUAUGGAUUGUAAACUUCUUUUGUCGGGGAGCAAACGACGCUACGUGUGUCGUUCUGAGAGUAUCCGACGAAUAAGCAUCGGCUAACUCCGUGCCAGCAGCCGCGGUAAUACGGAGGAUGCGAGCGUUAUCCGGAUUUAUUGGGUUAAAGGGGUGCGUAGGCGGACGAUAAAGUAAGCGGUAAAAUUGGGAGGCUCAACCUCGACGUGCCGUUGAAACUGGUUGGCUUGAGUGAAUGUGAGGUAGGCGGAAUGCAUGGUGUAGCGGUGAAAUGCUUAGAGAUCACACAGAACUCCGAUUGCGAAGGCAGCAUACCGGGGCACAACUGACGCUCAUGCACGAAAGUGUGGGUAUCGAACAGGAUUAGAUACCCCUGUAGUC